This 265-nucleotide unclassified non-coding RNA is filed under the name plant metagenome. RNAcentral describes it as "partial contains small subunit ribosomal RNA and internal transcribed spacer 1". The stretch from base 1 to 46 matches the Rfam family "Eukaryotic small subunit ribosomal RNA", at positions 1786 to 1831 of the family's 1831-position model. The record is from RNAcentral.
AAGUCGUAACAAGGUUUCCGUAGGUGAACCUGCGGAAGGAUCAUUAAAGAGUUGGGGUCCUUCGGGGCCCGACCUCCCACCCUAUGUUGUCGCGAAUCUGUUGCUUCGGCAGGCCCGACCGCUCCGCCCUCGUGGCGCGUGCGGCCGACCGGGUCCAGGCUCGGCCAGCUGCCUGCCGGAGUCCAACCACACAAAACCUCUGAAUAAACCAUGAAACUGUCAGAAUAUCGAUCUCUCGCAAGGGGGUGACAAAAUAAAAGUAAAA